This 81-nucleotide transfer RNA is filed under the name Felis catus (domestic cat). It matches the Rfam family "tRNA". From Rfam's summary of the family: Transfer RNA (tRNA) molecules are approximately 80 nucleotides in length. Lineage: Eukaryota; Metazoa; Chordata; Mammalia; Carnivora; Felidae. The record is from Rfam by way of RNAcentral. RNAcentral also lists the same sequence under 6 other names.
GCCUGGGUGGCUCAGUUAAGCAUCUGACUUUGGCUCAGGUCAUGAUCUCACGGUCUGUGAGUUCAAGUCCCACAUCAGGUG